RNAcentral lists this long non-coding RNA (3009 nucleotides) under Homo sapiens (human). Its description in RNAcentral is "HSALNT0295166". Lineage: Eukaryota; Metazoa; Chordata; Mammalia; Primates; Hominidae. The record is from RNAcentral.
GAACCCCUGUUAAGGAAAAUUAACAAAGUGUGGUUAUUAAAGAAGAACUGAGUUGGGAGUCAGACCUGGAGGCCCGCACCCGUGGUUAAGACAUUAUACCACCUUGAGUCUGGCCUGUUGACUGAGGAUUCUUUUCAAUAUACCCCAUCAUGGUUGAACUCAAAAAUCAUUGCUUAUUUAAAAUCUACAACUGCUGACGUUUUGUAACGUUCGCAUUCCAGAUACAACAGAGAAAUGCAUAAUGUCCAGUCAAUUUAUUAAAGUUCCAAAGUCGGUCGCGCGCAGUGGCUCACGCCUGUAAUCUCAACACUUCGGGAGGCCGAGGCGUGUGGAUCACGAGGAGUGAGGACACAGCGAAAGUGAGACAAGGAAAAGAGAACAAAAUAAAACAGGAAAGACAGAAAAGCCAAUACCACACGUGUUAAGAGUUUCAAGGAAAAUAUGUUUGGAGUUCCUGGCAUAGAGAAUGUCACAAAGACAUGUUUUCAAUAGUAGUGCUAUCCCGAGCGCAGAGAAGACCCAAAGAAAGCCCAAGUGGCUGCUGGAACAAAAUCAGACACCGUGCCACCUGUCCACACUCCUUGGCUCUGCCAUCAUGCUGAAGAUCGCUUUAAAGGACUGGCUUCCCUCCCCCCAAAAUUAAAAGAGCACAGACUGAGAAACUGAAUGUGGGAGACAGCAGUGGAUUAUGCUGUUCUCAGGGGUCACCUCAGGUUUGGAAGCAUUCUUUCAAAUUAACCCAUCUCAGGCCAUCUGCAGAGAAGAAAGGUGGUACCUAACUUUUUUUCUUGUCGGCAUUUGGUAGGGGUGUUUUAUUGACCAAAUAUGUUCCCACAACCUCGUUUUUUGUGACUAACUAAAUAUAGUAGAGUUUUAAAUUUUAUCAUCAAAAUCUAUAGACAAUUUUUGAUGAAAAUAGACUCCAUCUCUAUGUCCUGCUUUUCUUCUUCUUAUUAAUUACAUUGCUGUAUAAAAGAACAAGACUUCAGCAUCAAGAAUAUCUUGUCUCUUGGCAUUGAAUUUAUACAAGGUGCUCUUUCUUUAAUGCUGUCUCAAAGGACAUAUUUUUACUCAUUAAAAAGGAAGAUCGGAAUCUAGUUGUAUGCACUGCUCCAACAUAUUAAUAAUUAAAAUUAGGAGGUAAAUGUGGUCAAAGCUAUAGAAAGACUGAGAUGUCAUUUACAUCGAUUACUCUAUAGCACUCUACAAACAGAAAUUGUUAAAUAAUAGUUUAUAUAAAUAUUUUGUAGCAUUUCAAAUAUUUGAGUGCUUGAAGUUUCUCCUCUUUUAUAGUUCAGAUUAUCAAUUUGAAGACUUACUCCGCUAGUUAAUAUGUUUUUAGUCUCGUUUGAGUAUUAUAUAAAAGCAAUUUUCAGUUAAAUGUGUUCCGCUUACAUAAAACGUUACAAAUUAUUGAGGAUUUAAUUACUUAUUCAUGUUCCUGUAAUGUCUUUAGAAGAUUUUCUUAUUAUUACCUAUCAAUAUAUGUAUGCUUUGUCAAAGAAAAAUCAAACAUAUAUAUCAUUGAAAUUGAAACUUUUUAAAAGUACUUAUUAAUUCUAUUGAAAAACCACAUCCAUAGGAACAAUUACAAUAUAAUAUUGUGAACAUGUAAACAUAUACCCUAUGUCUAUUUUAUGUAUAAGCAUGUAUGAUUAAAAAUAUAGUGAAGAAUUUUUAAACCUAGUAUUAUAAAGUAAAAAUUAGUUAACUUCCGAUGAUUAUUUGUUAAUUAAGAUAAAAUUAUUUUGAUUUGGGUGAUUUUAAAUAAAGAAAAAUAUUAAAUUACAUGACAAAAAUUCUUUAUAAAAUGUUUAUGAUUUUUACAUUGGUUUUAUCACUUUUCCCACUAUUUUAUUUUAAGAUGACCUGCCUUGUUUAAAACACUGUAUUCAUCUUAGUUAAAUUAGAUUCCAUUUGUAAAAUAAUUAACAAAUGAUUUGCUCUAUUGUACAGUGCGGUUAUAAACUGAGUCAGUAUCUCAAGAUUUGAUCCCCAUUAUCAUCAUCUGUGGCCCUAUUUGUUUUAUAAAUGUAUUGUCUUUUUCCAUGCCUGUCACAUCUCUAUUGCUCUUUCAUUUUUCUCUUUGUCCCUUAUAGGGAGCAUUGCCUAUCUCUAGAUUAAGCAAAAGUUGCAUCAUAAAAAAGCACAAUAACCUGCUCAAUCUUUCUCACACAGAGAAAUGUUUGUUAAGUAAUUAAAGUGUAGAUGAUGAUACAAAGAGCUUGAUUAAAUUAGAUGCCAAAGUACCCUUGUGAUUCAGAAUAUGAAUGGUAUUUAAUUUCUUUGAAAUCAUUAAUUGCUGAGUGAGAUUAAUUAAUGCCAAUAUUCCAGAAGAUGUUCCAGUCAGUAAAAUGUAUACAACGUGCAAAAGAUUCAGAACUCUGAAGGGCAACAUUAUUCUAUAAUUAAGAAUUAAGAAUUAAUUCACAUUAAUUACUGGGGAGAAAUACUUUUUAAGAAUUAAUGACUGAGAAAAUGUUUUUAUUUUUUAUUUAGAAAAUUAUUUUGUGCAUGAGCAUUACCGCAAGUUUUGCAAGAAACAUAAAUUUAAAGAAACAAUUAUGUGCACAAGAUGAAUUUAAUAACAUCUUGAUAUAUUCCACGAUUGCGGUUUUAUUUGGUAAAUCUUUCAAGGCACACCAUUUAAAGAGAAUAAAUGAGUCUUGGAAAUCUUGUAGGUAAGGGUAAAUAUUAGGAUGCAUCCAGUUACAUUUACACACACAUACAGUUACAUUUACACACACAUACACGCAUACAGACUGAGUCACGUGUGUGUAUAUAUAUAUAUGAAUUUACCAAUUGAUGUUAACUAAUAUUUAUAAGAGCCAGUUGGAUUGAUAUAUAUUGUUGAACCUGAAAAAUAUUUAUUAUAUACAUGUUUAAAAUACAGAAAUAAAUAGCAAUUGCACUAGGCAUUUGAAACUGUACUAAAAUAUAAGCUGUGAACAUUUUGUGAUCAUUACAAAUUCUUACACUGAAUAAAUAUUUUUAUUUUUACAAUAUUAA